AAGUGCAACCAGAUUGGAUGA
RNAcentral lists this microRNA (21 nucleotides) under Ornithorhynchus anatinus (platypus). RNAcentral describes it as "Oan-Mir-430-P58_3p (mature (guide))". The record is from RNAcentral. Lineage: Eukaryota; Metazoa; Chordata; Mammalia; Monotremata; Ornithorhynchidae.